Molecule: long non-coding RNA, 332 nt
Filed under: Sciurus vulgaris (Eurasian red squirrel)
Lineage: Eukaryota; Metazoa; Chordata; Mammalia; Rodentia; Sciuridae
Description: lncRNA (ENSSVLG00005008765.1)
Source: RNAcentral
UGGCCCUGGGAGGAGGCGCCCCAGCCCGUCUCUGACGGUCCUUUCUUCCUUCGCAGAGCUCAGCACAGGCCGCAUCCGGGAGAGGCUACUCCUGUGACAGCGAGAGCGGCGUGGACGACAAGGCCUCUGUGGGCUCCGAGAAGCUGUUUUCGCCAGCAGCUGGGAAAGGUGAGUCUGUCCUCGGCGAACUCCUGCCUCAGGUCUCCAGAUUCAGAGGGCUGUGCAGGACUUGGGAGGGUUGGUGGUCCAGGAACGCUGGGUGAGGGCCACAGGGAGCAGUUGUCUUUGGGGCAAGCAGCUUUCCCUGAUCUCCAGGGGAGGUCCGAAAGAGG